UUAGUGGCGUUGAUUAGGAAGAGUAAUUAAUAUCAAAGCUUUCAGAGAGUGAACGGUUGGUGUGAGUUUACAGUGAAGAAUUAAUGAAAAUCACCUAUGAGCUUAUGAUUGAAAAGUAAUGAGUAGGUCAUACGUAAUUCUGCGUUAAAGGAUAGAGUAUAAAAAUAAUUUUUAUUGAGUACUUGAAGAAUUUUUACCAUAGGUGGUAUAGCGAAGAUUAUAGACUUCGUCCUAUUU
Molecule: non-coding RNA, 237 nt
Filed under: Clostridium collagenovorans
Lineage: Bacteria; Bacillati; Bacillota; Clostridia; Eubacteriales; Clostridiaceae
Description: T-box sequence
Rfam family: T-box leader
About the family: Uncharged tRNA acts as the effector for transcription antitermination of genes in the T-box leader family. T-boxes are found upstream of many aminoacyl-tRNA synthetase genes and some amino acid biosynthetic genes usually in Gram-positive bacteria. The anticodon of a specific tRNA base pairs to a specifier sequence within the T-box motif, and the NCCA acceptor tail of the tRNA base pairs to a conserved bulge in the T-box antiterminator hairpin.
Source: RNAcentral